This 393-nucleotide ribosomal RNA is filed under the name uncultured bacterium. RNAcentral describes it as "partial 16S ribosomal RNA". It matches the Rfam family "Bacterial small subunit ribosomal RNA", at positions 523 to 918 of the family's 1533-position model. The record is from RNAcentral.
AUACGGAGGAUCCGAGCGUUAUCCGGAUUUAUUGGGUUUAAAGGGUGCGCAGGCGGGAGAUUAAGUCGGCGGUGAAAUUUUUCAGCUCAACUGUAAAAGGGCCUUCGAAACUGGUUUCCUUUGGUGUAGAUGAAGUAGGCGGAAUUUGUGGUGUAGCGGGGAAAUGCAUAGAUAUCACGAGGAACUCCGAUUGCGCAGGCAGCUUACUAAACUACUACUGACGCUCAGGCACGAAGGCGUGGGGAUCAAACAGGAUUAGAUACUCUGGUAGUCCACGCAGUAAACGAUGAUUACUAGCUGUUUGCGAUACAAUGUAAGCGGCUGAGCGAAAGCGUUAAGUAAUCCACCUGGGGAGUACGUUCGCAAGAAUGAAACUUAAAGGAAUCGGCGGGG